This 546-nucleotide ribosomal RNA is filed under the name Triticum aestivum (bread wheat). RNAcentral describes it as "partial small subunit ribosomal RNA". The record is from RNAcentral. Lineage: Eukaryota; Viridiplantae; Streptophyta; Magnoliopsida; Poales; Poaceae.
AUGGCCGGCCGGAGCAGCAGCCGUUCCAUGGUGUCCGCGCACCGGCUCUUCGCGCCGGCGCCCGCGCGCACCCUGCAGCACGCGGCCGACCCGGCCCUGGAGCUCGACGAGGCCGACAUCAUCUGGGGCGGCGCGGCGCUGGCGUCUUCCCCGCCGGCCGACGCGUACGGGCGGGCCCUGUCCGCGUCCACUCCCUCCAGGGCCUCCAAGCCGCGCGCCGCGGCGCCGCGGGAUGCCGCCGGUGGCGGUGGCGGCGUCGGGGGCCCGGCGUCGCUGCCCGUCAACAUCCCCGACUGGUCCAAGAUCCUGGGGGCGGAGUACGGCGGGGGCAGCGCCGGCGCGGGGCGGUGGCCGUCGGACGAUCGCGGGGACGCGUACCUGGACCGCGGCGACCGGCAGUGGGUGCCGCCGCACGAGCAGCUCAUGUACCGGGAGCGCGCCGCGGCGUCCUUCUCGGUGCGCGAGGGCGCCGGGCGCACGCUCAAGGGCCGCGACCUCCGCCGCGUCCGCAACGCCAUCUGGGAGAAGACCGGCUUCCAGGACUGA